AGCGAACGCUGGCGGCAGGCCUAACACAUGCAAGUCGAACGAACUCUUCGGAGUUAGUGGCGGACGGGUGAGUAACACGUGGGAACGUGCCUUUUGGUUCGGAAUAACUCAGGGAAUCUUGUGCUAAUACCGAAUGUGCCCUUCGGGGGAAAGAUUUAUCGCCACUAGAGCGGCCCGCGUCUGAUUAGCUAGUUGGUGAGGUAACGGCUCACCAAGGCGACGAUCAGUAGCUGGUCUGAGAGGAUGACCAGCCACACUGGGACUGAGACACGGCCCAGACUCCUACGGGAGGCAGCAGUGGGGAAUCUUGCGCAAUGGGCGAAAGCCUGACGCAGCCAUGCCGCGUGAAUGAUGAAGGUCUUAGGAUUGUAAAAUUCUUUCACCGGGGACGAUAAUGACGGUACCCGGAGAAGAAGCCCCGGCUAACUUCGUG
This 433-nucleotide ribosomal RNA is filed under the name uncultured bacterium. Its description in RNAcentral is "partial 16S ribosomal RNA". It matches the Rfam family "Bacterial small subunit ribosomal RNA", at positions 29 to 507 of the family's 1533-position model. The record is from RNAcentral.